GAUGAAGAACGUAGUGAAAUGCGAUACGUAGUGUGAAUUGCAGAAUUCAGUGAAUCAUCGAAUCUUUGAACGCACAUUGCACCUCUCGGUAUUCCGGGAGGUAUGCCUGUUCGAGCGUCAUUUGUACCCUCAAGCUCUGCUUGGUGUUGGGUGUUUGUUCCGCCUCUGUGUGUGAACUCGCCUCAAAACAAUUGGCAGCCGGCGUACUUGUUUCGGAGCGCAGCACAUUUUGCGAUCCAGAUCAACGUACAGCGGCAUCCAAGAAGCCUUAUUUAACGCUCUUGACCUCGGAUCAGGUAGGGAUACCCGCUGAACUUAAGCAUAUCGAUAAGCGGAGGA
RNAcentral lists this unclassified non-coding RNA (339 nucleotides) under soil metagenome. RNAcentral's name for it is "partial contains 5.8S ribosomal RNA, internal transcribed spacer 2, and large subunit ribosomal RNA". The stretch from base 1 to 120 matches the Rfam family "5.8S ribosomal RNA", at positions 35 to 154 of the family's 154-position model. The record is from RNAcentral.